UUUACAGAAUCUACGUUAACU
This 21-nucleotide non-coding RNA is filed under the name Caenorhabditis elegans. The record is from RNAcentral. Lineage: Eukaryota; Metazoa; Nematoda; Chromadorea; Rhabditida; Rhabditidae.